RNAcentral lists this ribosomal RNA (433 nucleotides) under uncultured bacterium. Its description in RNAcentral is "partial 16S ribosomal RNA". It matches the Rfam family "Bacterial small subunit ribosomal RNA", at positions 29 to 507 of the family's 1533-position model. The record is from RNAcentral.
AAUGAACGCUGGCGGCAGGCCUAACACAUGCAAGUCGAGCGAAGUCUUCGGACUUAGCGGCGGACGGGUGAGUAACGCGUGGGAACAUGCCCUUUGGUGCGGAAUAGUCCCGGGAAACUGGGAGUAAUACCGCAUGUGCCCUUCGGGGGAAAGAUUUAUCGCCAAAGGAUUGGCCCGCGUUGGAUUAGGUAGUUGGUGGGGUAAUGGCCUACCAAGCCGACGAUCCAUAGCUGGUUUGAGAGGAUGAUCAGCCACACUGGGACUGAGACACGGCCCAGACUCCUACGGGAGGCAGCAGUGGGGAAUCUUAGACAAUGGGCGCAAGCCUGAUCUAGCCAUGCCGCGUGAUCGAUGAAGGCCUUAGGGUUGUAAAGAUCUUUCAGUGGGGAAGAUAAUGACGGUACCCACAGAAGAAGCCCCGGCUAACUCCGUG